CUGAAACCUACCGUCAUGGUGGCAGGGAGUUCUCUGGGAUAACUGUGUGUUGUAUGGAAAAGUUUUCUCACAGGUCUGGAUGGGGCCAAAAUACCAUUAACGCUUCUACCUGGGGAGACUUGGAUGGCACCUGUGUUCUCUUUUGCUCUUGCUAGCUCAACAGUGCAACUUAAAUUAAAAGCAAAAGCAGGUCCCCUUCACAACUGAUGAAACUGCCAUUCAGCUCCCCUGGAUACACGGUUGCCAGGAUCCAUCCAAAUGAUCAGCGUUUCUGCUACGGCUGAUGACCACAAAUCCCCUACCAUCGUCUGGGUCGCCAUUAAUGCCUAUUCCCGGGUUGGAGCCCAGAGCACAUGAAUUC
Mauremys reevesii (Reeves's turtle) is the source of this 361-nucleotide long non-coding RNA. RefSeq lists it as uncharacterized. NCBI's taxonomy places the organism in Eukaryota, Metazoa, Chordata, Testudines, Geoemydidae. The record is from RefSeq and is a predicted model, not a curated record. The transcript has 3 exons.